Molecule: ribosomal RNA, 404 nt
Filed under: uncultured Glomus
Lineage: Eukaryota; Fungi; Glomeromycota; Glomeromycetes; Glomerales; Glomeraceae
Description: SSU rRNA
Rfam family: Eukaryotic small subunit ribosomal RNA
Source: RNAcentral
AGCAGCCGCGGUAAUUCCAGCUCCAAUAGCGUAUAUUAAAGUUGCUGCAGUUAAAAAGCUCGUAGUUGAAUUUCGGGACCAUCAUGUCGGUCGUGCCUCGGUACGUACUGGCAUUGUUGGUUUCUCCCUUCUGACGAACCAUGAUGUCAUUAAUUUGGUGUUAUGGGGAGUUAGGACUGUUACUUUGAAAAAAUUAGAGUGUUUAAAGCAGGCUUUAGCUUGAAUACAUUAGCAUGGAAUAAUGAAAUAGGACGUUCGAACCUAUUUUGUUGGUUUCUAGGAUCAACGUAAUGAUUAAUAGGGAUAGUUGGGGGCAUUAGUAUUCAAUUGUCAGAGGUGAAAUUCUUGGAUUUAUUGAAGACUAACUACUGCGAAAGCAUUUGCCAAGGAUGUUUUCAUUAAUC